Molecule: long non-coding RNA, 5329 nt
Organism: Oncorhynchus tshawytscha (Chinook salmon)
Lineage: Eukaryota; Metazoa; Chordata; Actinopteri; Salmoniformes; Salmonidae
Source: Ensembl
AUUUGGACAACUCAAUUCUGCAUUUUUCUUGAAGAAUACAUAUUAUGUACAAAUGACAAACAUUCACUACAUUUUCUGUAGGCCUACUGAUUUGCCCUGGGUUACCCACAAACAACAAUCAAGAGAGAAACAAAUAGAAUCUAAAUAGGACUUGACUGCUUUUUGUGAUCUAAAACAAACGUGUACUGGUAAAAUAACACAUUUUCUCUUUGCCAGCACAAAACAACUGUAUUCUGACAGCCAGAAACACCCCCAAUUUAAAGGAUAUCAUUUCAGAAAACAUGGUCAUUAUUUACUAUGAUAAUAAGAAAAGGAGCUGUGAUCCAUGUGAGCUCCAAUGUUUGCUAAACCUACAGUAUAUUCUGCUCCAGAGUUGUCACCGGCACGUUUGGGCCAGAUCACGUGACGGGAGAGGAUAGUGUGUGUUUGUUGUUUGUUGUUUGUGUCCAUGUCAGUGUGUGUGUGAGAAAGAGGGUGGGAGUGAACAAAGGGGGGGGUAUAGACAUCCACUUCUCCGGGCAAACACUAAUUACUUUAACAUUUCCUAUAGUCCAUAAGAAUAAGAUUUAUAAGAAUGUUAAACAUUUGCAUGUAUUUUAAAAAUAUCUGUGAGACAAAAAUUACAAUUAGUGCUUAAUUUGAUCAAAUUUGUCACAGGUAUGCAUCGGUGAUCUAACUCCAGCGAAGGCAAAGCAAAACAGGGCAUUGUUAAGGAUCACCAUAUAGUCAGGUGGUCCAGUCGGCCCAAGGAGAGCAUCCUCCGAGUUCUGAAUCUUGUGAAAUGUUUAGUUAUUUCUCCCCAUGGAGAUGAAGACUGUGUCCCAUUAGUGGUUUGGCAUGGACAUGCAUGAAAAAGGCUAAAUGUGUUGUUGAAGUUCAGGGAAAGUGGACAUUUUGGUUAUUCCAUGAUGUUCUUGUUGACAUACGAUAAACGUCUCUUCCCACAGGCCUGUGCAUGCUGACUGGACGAGGGGAGGCCAAGAGAGGGACUGUAGUUGGCUGCUCGGUGCCCAGUCAUAUUUUCCUGCAGAGAGCUUUCAUGAUCCAAGACGCCUCUGAGGAGCUGGCUGAGUGUGGGAACAGCAUCACGAUCAUACAGGGGAGUAGACAGAGACGGGAAGGCCUCCACAAACACUUUGUUCUGAAAGAUGGAAAUAAUGAAAAAUGAAGAACAAAUGUGUAUGUAUCAUUUCCAGUCAGUCCCAUGGACCAUGUACUCCUGGAGAUUACAGGAAUAUGCAAUAAAUUGACUCCUUGUCUUUUGUAGUCACUUCGGAGGAAAGAUGGAGAGAUUUAAAGGCCUACCACAUUUUGCGUGGCAGAGAAUCUGCCCCUUGUCUCCUCUACAGCAUUUGUGGGCCACCACUGUUCUCUUGUGUCUUGCCUUUCUCCCGCUAUAUCCUUUGGAAAGGCUGUCCAGGCAUCCUCUGAUUGUUGGAAUGAGCUGUCUGUCCAACCUGAGGUCCAAUGGGUAGACUCGUUGGUGAUGGAAUGGUUUUCAAGUGCAGCAUGGAAGGCAUCAGACAUGAAUCAUUACGACACUAGCUAGAUUCUAUUGAUUCUAUAUGAUCUGUAUGCCUUGCACUGAGUCGACCUCAAAGUGCAGGGACCUGGUGUAUGCUCCAAAUAGGCGGCUAUUUUGCAUGCUGUCCUCAUUCAAAUGGCCUGAAUGGGCAACAAAUAAAAGUUUUUUUUUUUUACCUUCUAUAAUCUGACAACUAUUUUUGUAACUUUGAUUUAUACACUUGGUUAAAUGUCACUGCCAUUGCAAGUGCCAUUGCUUUAACUGACAUAUGACAUAAUCGUGACAACAACAAUGAUUAGACCUGUGUUAUUACCAUUAGACACUAAUGAUGGGGAGUUUUGUCUUUGCAUGAUGUUUGAGGUUACAUGGGGAUGGAACGUUGGGAUGGAUGUCACCCUGCAUGGUCUCUCCCAAUCACGGCAGAGCUGCCUGCCUGGGUCUCUGUCUCUUUAAACAUGGAACCCCAUGUCCUGAGGCUCACACGCCUUACAUCCCAAAGCAGAGAGCACUAGCACUACCUUCACAUGAGUUUGGGAGAGGAGAGGGCCCUCAAGAAUCCAGGUCAGACCAGAAUGAAUAACUGUUUAUUUUAUUUCAACUUUAUUUAACUAGGCAAGUUAGUUAAGAACAAAUUCUUAUUUACAAUGGCGGCCUACCCCAGCCAAACCCGGACGACGCUGGGCCAAUUAUGCGCCGCCCUAUGUGACUCUCAAUCACGGCCGGUUGUGACACAGCCUGGAAUCAAACCAGGGUCUGUAGUGAUGCCUCUGGCACUGAGACGCAGUGCCUUAGACCGCUGUGCCACUCGGGCAUUGGGAGCAACGUGUCUACAUGCCCUGGCUGCUGCAUGGUGCAAACCACAACAAAGAGAGUUACCGAUACUGUUCACAUCAGAGCACUUGUCUUUGUGGUUUUCAAAAGCCUUUUCAUGUUCUGCUGUUUACUGCUGCCUCUGUCACAUUUGCAUAAUCUAACUGGAGGAUGUGAUAGUCAUAAGAAGUUUCUGUUAUGUGUGUGUCGUGUCUGGAUGUCUUUAAAAAGAGCCCCUGUCACAUUUCUGAGGUGCCGUAGGCUGGGGACUUACCAACACUCUCACUUUUCCCAGAAGACACUAGGGGUGAUGCAGUGAAGCUGUCGUACCAGGGCAGCUGCUCCUCUGCCUGCAUGAAAAGCCCAAAGUCAUCCUCCCCCUCUGGCCCCCCAUCCAGGAACCCCCUGUUGGAGGCCACCUUGCUCUCGUCCGGGCCCCUCUUCCACUCCUGCUCCCCUGGGCUCCGUAGCAGAGGCACCAGAAACCCACCUCCAGCGUCUGUCUGCCCCCCAUUCGGAGCAGGGAGGCCUGUUGCCAUGGCUCUUGAGGAGGCCAGAUUAGGUGGCGAGUGUGUGACAGAGGUAGCAGGGCCAGCAACAGCAGAGCCUUGUAAACGGGAAUUAAACUGCCUAGUCCCUGCCUUCCUCCACCUUACUACGGCCUCUUCAGUUAGGUUAGCUGGUAAAUCUGAAAAACACCUCGCUUCCAUAUUACAUGUCUCCUCGCACUCAUGUUCCUCCGUUGCCCAGUGAGGCCCUCGCUCAGUUCUCUGGGAUAUGAUGUCUCCCUUUACCAGCCUGGCCUCAUCAUCUGUGCUCCUGACCUCAGGCAGUAUCUCUCCAUGCUCCCCACAGAGCUCCCUAAUUUCUGGUGCUGUUGACUGGAUCCCCUCCUCCCCCUCUAUCUCCUCUUCCUCACAGAGGCCAUGUACAGAUUCUUGUAAACCUUCUUUAUCCACUGCCACAGGAUCUUUUUCUUCUGGCUGACAUUUCUCACAAAGCUUAUUGUAUUGACUAUCUGAUUUAGUUUCCUGAUUUAUCUGACCAUAGCCAGUCUCAUCAGGAGCAGUAGAAAUGCUGCCCUCAACUGGUCUGGGUGGUUGAGUGGAGCAGUCUUUGAGGCAGCUUCUCUCAGAGCAGCAGUGGCUCUCUGAAGUUUGACUAUCGAUCCACCUGUUGGGCAGCUUCCCCUCAGCUAUCUCCCCGGUUCCCCUUAGCCUCUCUGAAUCACACUCUGCAGACUUGAUAUGAUCCACAAACCCAAUCACAGCACCCACCAUGCCAUCAAAGUCUUCCACAUGACUCAUGAUACCACUGGCCACAUCGUUGCCUCCAGUAUGUAUGUCUUUGUCCCAUAGUUUGUCCUGGAAGUGCUCCUUGUUGAAAGAAGUUUCAGGAUGCAGCCCCUCCUGUGCGCGUGGGCUGUCUGGCUUUCCCCGGUCCCUGACGUCACUGCUGCAGUUUUCUGGGUCAGCAUUGUCUGGAGGCAGGGAGGAGUCACAGGGCUUUGACCGGGUGAGACCAGUGCCAUCCUGCACUUUCCCCUCCUCCUUCUCCUUAAUCCCCUCCACACCGCAGCUCGACUGAUCCUGCUCACAUACAGAGGCAGCUCCCCUCUGACCCCCGCUGCUCCCCUGCCCUCCUCUCCGCCCGUGACACUGGGUGCAGGUCAGGGUCUGAGCGUGACUGCAUUUGGGGCUUCUAGUACUCCCUCGGUCUUGUUUUCCACUCAGAGUGUCCUGACCAGCUUUGGGAAACUCUCCUUUGUCCCUGCUUUCCUGGCUCCCUUCCAGGGUAUGCUCGCCAGCAUUCUCCCUGUUCCGGAGUGUUCUCCCCUGGAUGGAAACCACAGGCUUGCAGGAUGUUCUCCACCUCUGGGCUGACCUCGAUUUGACCUGGUAUGACCCCAAGGCCCCUCCCAUAUCCUGCACCCCCAUUUUCCCCACCAUGGAGGAGUCCCUGACCCCUCCCACUUUAUCCCUCAGCCAGCUGCCCACCAGCGUGGAGGGGGACUGAGGGACCAGACUUUGAGUGCAGGGCCUUGGACUGCCUGUAGAGUAGAGGCACCUUCCACCCUCCGUCUUGAGGAACAGACAGCUUGUCUGAGUCUGACCACCUCCCUCAGAGGCCUUCAACGUGGCCACAGUCACCAGUGCCCCCAGGCCUGUCUGUCUGGGGUUGGAGGCAUAGUUGGAGUCCAGCGGUAGCCCCAGACCAUAACCCAGCCUGCCCCACUGUCCCACUGGGUAGACAUCUGCAGGCCUGGGGCACGUUCCCUGGGACCUGGGGGGAGGUGCUGCCCUCCUGCGGUUCUUGGAGCACGCAGCCCAGGCCCGAAGGCCCUUGACUAAGGGCAUGUCCCCAAGCUCCAAGCGUCUGGUGAAGGAAAGAUUGCUUUUUUGGCACUUCUGCAGCACCUCCCUGGGGGAGCCAGACAUCUCCAGGCAUGGGUAGUUGUUGUUAUUGUUCUGCUGGAUCAUUGUUGCAGCCUUCAGAUUAUUUAAGAUAGUAUCAAAAAAAUACUAGCCAAUGUGCAAUCUUCAAACGUCUAUGUACCUUAACAAGGAGGCUUCAACGCAUGAAGAAUAGACACUCAAAGUAAUGACGCGCUGUGUAUUUCUGAGUAAUAUUCAGUGACAGUGCUGUCAACAGUGUUCUCCAUCCAGAUACGUAGCUUUUAUCAAUGGGUGUCAGGCAUGUAAACCAAUUCAGUCUACCUAAACAACCUAGAGGAGAAACAAACAUUGAUCAGAUAUAUCAUUGAAAACAUGAUACAACACCUCAUUUCAUUUUGGAAAGGAUGUCACUGUACAAAGACUCUCAUAAUCAAAUAAAGCUACGAAUCAAUAUCUGCUAGAGCCCACGAGAGAGAUUGAAUGGCUGGCAUUGUGUGAGAACCAUGUAUCGAUCCUCUCACACAAUCUUAACUACCCACUUUGAUUGGUGUUUUGGGGCUCAAUCAAAUGUUAAUUUGUUCGUAUUUUAUGUGCUCAU